Molecule: long non-coding RNA, 192 nt
Organism: Zea mays
Lineage: Eukaryota; Viridiplantae; Streptophyta; Magnoliopsida; Poales; Poaceae
Exons: 3
Source: RefSeq, a predicted model, not a curated record
UAGGCACUGUGGUGGACUCGAAGAUCUGCCAUCCAACUGAGUUUGAUUUCUACCUGUGCAGCCAUGCUGGCAUUCAGGGAACAAGCCGCCCUGCCCAUUACCAUGUUCUGUGGGAUGAGAACAACUUUACGGCUGAUGGGUUGCAAACUCUCACCAAUAACUUGUGUUACACGUAUGCUAGGUGCACACGCU